Molecule: ribosomal RNA, 104 nt
Filed under: Gloeohypochnicium analogum
Lineage: Eukaryota; Fungi; Basidiomycota; Agaricomycetes; Russulales
Description: partial 5.8S ribosomal RNA
Rfam family: 5.8S ribosomal RNA (bases 1-82)
About the family: 5.8S ribosomal RNA (5.8S rRNA) is a component of the large subunit of the eukaryotic ribosome. It is transcribed by RNA polymerase I as part of the 45S precursor that also contains 18S and 28S rRNA. Functionally, it is thought that 5.8S rRNA may be involved in ribosome translocation.
Source: RNAcentral
UGCAGAAUUCAGUGAAUCAUCGAAUCUUUGAACGCACCUUGCGCCCCUUGGUAUUCCGAGGGGCACACCUGUUUGAGUGUCGUGAAUCUCUCAACYUCCUCAUC